CUUUCUACAAAGAAAACACGCUAUAAUUUAUUAUAAUAGUCAAUAUUGUCUUUCGGUAUGUAUUUUGAAUUACAAACUCCAAACGGAACUGUAGAUAAUAUAAUAUUAUACAGUCGUACGGUGUUUUUCUUUAUCGUGUAACGCUUUCUCGUCGCGACUGUCAAAAAUGGUCGAAUACCUAGUCGAUAAAUCUACAGGAUGACAAAUAUUUGUACGAAAAACAAUAUAAAACUGCGCGCAAGUGUUCAGGUACACGAGUAUGAGAUGUUUAAAAUUUAAGUCGGAACCGUCGAAAUCGUCACUGUCGGAGGAGACUAUAUAUUAUUAAUGUACACUGUUAUAUUGUAAUUAUAGUAAUUACUUUUCGAGUUACGGCCAAAGGUUGAAAUAUAUAGUUGUUCGUAAUGCACACUUUAUGCGAAACUAUACCGUAUUAUAGCCCAUAGGUAUCUUCACUUUCCAUCCCCGUCGAUGGCGCCAUUUCAGUUUUUGAUGGAGGGGAAAGACUUUUUGAUCAGCGCAUCAAAGAAAAAAACCGAACCGCUCCGCUCGCAAACUAAUUUCAAUUUAC
Non-coding RNA from Cinara cedri, 571 nucleotides. The record is from the annotation of a GenBank genome assembly. Lineage: Eukaryota; Metazoa; Arthropoda; Insecta; Hemiptera; Aphididae.